CCUACGGGGGGCUGCAGUGGGGAAUAUUGGACAAUGGGCGAAAGCCUGAUCCAGCCAUGCCGCGUGUGUGAAGAAGGCCUUCGGGUUGUAAAGCACUUUCAGUGGGGAAGAAAGCCUUGGGGCUAAUACCCUCGAGGAAGGACAUCACCCACAGAAGAAGCACCGGCUAACUCCGUGCCAGCAGCCGCGGUAAUACGGAGGGUGCGAGCGUUAAUCGGAAUUACUGGGCGUAAAGCGCGCGUAGGCGGUCUGAUAAGCCGGUUGUGAAAGCCCCGGGCUCAACCUGGGAACGGCAUCCGGAACUGUCAGGCUAGAGUGCAGGAGAGGAAGGGAGAAUACCCGGUGUAGCGGUGAAAUGCGUAGAGAUCGGGAGGAAUACCAGUGGCGAAGGCGGCCUUCUGGACUGACACUGACGCUGAGGUGCGAAAGCGUGGGUAGCAAACAGGAUUAGAUACCCUAGUAGUC
Molecule: ribosomal RNA, 465 nt
Filed under: Vreelandella stevensii
Lineage: Bacteria; Pseudomonadati; Pseudomonadota; Gammaproteobacteria; Oceanospirillales; Halomonadaceae
Description: partial 16S ribosomal RNA
Rfam family: Bacterial small subunit ribosomal RNA
Source: RNAcentral